Non-coding RNA from Dipodomys ordii (Ord's kangaroo rat), 72 nucleotides. Lineage: Eukaryota; Metazoa; Chordata; Mammalia; Rodentia; Heteromyidae. The record is from Rfam.
GUGAAUGUGGCUCAGUGGUAGAGCGCUUGCCUUGUAUGCAGGAGGUUGUGGGUUCGAUUCCUCAGCACCACA